AUUGAACGCUGGCGGCAUGCUUUACACAUGCAAGUCGAACGGCAGCGCGGGGCAACCUGGCGGCGAGUGGCGAACGGGUGAGUAAUAUAUCGGAACGUACCCAAGAGUGGGGGAUAACGUAGCGAAAGUUACGCUAAUACCGCAUACGAUCUAUGGAUGAAAGCAGGGGACCGCAAGGCCUUGUGCUCCUGGAGCGGCCGAUAUCUGAUUAGCUAGUUGGUGAGGUAAAGGCUCACCAAGGCGACGAUCAGUAGCUGGUCUGAGAGGACGACCAGCCACACUGGAACUGAGACACGGUCCAGACUCCUACGGGAGGCAGCAGUGGGGAAUUUUGGACAAUGGGCGCAAGCCUGAUCCAGCAAUGCCGCGUGAGUGAAGAAGGCCUUCGGGUUGUAAAGCUCUUUUGUCAGGGAAGAAACGGGUGGGGCUAAUAUCCCUAUCUAAUGACGGUACCUGAAGAAUAAGCACCGGCUAACUACGUGC
RNAcentral lists this ribosomal RNA (483 nucleotides) under uncultured bacterium. RNAcentral describes it as "bacterial SSU rRNA". It matches the Rfam family "Bacterial small subunit ribosomal RNA", at positions 30 to 508 of the family's 1533-position model. The record is from RNAcentral.